RNAcentral lists this ribosomal RNA (253 nucleotides) under uncultured bacterium. RNAcentral describes it as "partial 16S ribosomal RNA". It matches the Rfam family "Bacterial small subunit ribosomal RNA", at positions 524 to 776 of the family's 1533-position model. The record is from RNAcentral.
UACGUAGGGGGCAAGCGUUGUCCGGAUUUAUUAGGCGUAAAGAGCGUGUAGGCGGCCAUACAGGUCAGCUGUGAAAACUCGAGGCUCAACCUCGAGACGUCGGUUGAAACCGUAUGGCUAGAGUCCGGAAGAGGGGAGUGGAAUUCCCGGUGUAGCGGUGAAAUGCGCAGAUAUCGGGAAGAACACCCGUGGCGAAGGCGGCUCUCUGGGACGGUACUGACGCUGAGACGCGAAAGCGUGGGGAGCGAACAGG